This 72-nucleotide transfer RNA is filed under the name Natranaerobius trueperi. It matches the Rfam family "tRNA". From Rfam's summary of the family: Transfer RNA (tRNA) molecules are approximately 80 nucleotides in length. Their secondary structure includes four short double-helical elements and three loops (D, anti-codon, and T loops). Further hydrogen bonds mediate the characteristic L-shaped molecular structure. tRNAs have two regions of fundamental functional importance: the anti-codon, which is responsible for specific mRNA codon recognition, and the 3' end, to which the tRNAs corresponding amino acid is attached (by aminoacyl-tRNA synthetases). tRNAs cope with the degeneracy of the genetic code in two manners: having more than one tRNA (with a specific anti-codon) for a particular amino acid; and 'wobble' base-pairing, i.e. permitting non-standard base-pairing at the 3rd anti-codon position. Lineage: Bacteria; Bacillati; Bacillota; Clostridia; Natranaerobiales; Natranaerobiaceae. The record is from Rfam by way of RNAcentral.
GGGUCUGUAGCUCAGUGGGAGAGCGCUUCCUUGACGCGGAAGAGGACGUAGGUUCGAUCCCUACCAGACCCA